This 154-nucleotide small nuclear RNA is filed under the name Sorex araneus (European shrew). RNAcentral's name for it is "U1 spliceosomal RNA (ENSSARG00000015427.1)". It matches the Rfam family "U1 spliceosomal RNA". From Rfam's summary of the family: U1 is a small nuclear RNA (snRNA) component of the spliceosome (involved in pre-mRNA splicing). Its 5' end forms complementary base pairs with the 5' splice junction, thus defining the 5' donor site of an intron. Lineage: Eukaryota; Metazoa; Chordata; Mammalia; Eulipotyphla; Soricidae. The record is from RNAcentral.
AUACUUCAAGAUACUAUGAUCACGAAGGUGGUUUUCCUAGGGUAAGGCUUAUCUAUUACACUUCGGAUGUGCUGACCCCUGCACUUUCCCCAAAUGUAGGAAAUUCAACUGCAUAAUUUGUGGUGGUGAAGGACUGUGUUCACCCUAUCCUGAA